GUAGCCAACACCCUUGGCUGUGUGAAUUUUGGCUGAGAUGGUGAGGAGUGCUGCCACCCAAGUAUGAUUCCACCGCCAAAUCCAUCGAUGUUUCAUACUGAGAAUGGGCAUCUUGAGGUGCCAAUAUGUGAUUGUGUGACAGCAGACAGGAAAAUGACUGCAAAUGAGAAUACGGAGGCGAAGAGGGUUGGAGUAAGAGUUCCAGAUGUUUCGACAGCUUACUAGAAAGAAAUGGACUGACGGAAUGCUUCUUAAUUUUCCAGUUUCAUCAAAGAGGUUUACAGAUACAAAACAAAGAAAUGAAGAUGUGUAAGACAAUACCUACAUUCAUCCUGCUGCUUACAGGGUAUUUUGUUAAAAAUAUGCAUGUUCAUGCAACAGAUCCAACACUAUUAUUGCAAACUACUUCCAGUGUCACAGAAGCUUCUCACCAAGAAACAGCAACAGCUGAUUCAAAACCAGUAACAACCGGACCAGAAAAUGAGUCGAGUCCCGUUCCAGAAGAACGUUUGUCAUCUACAGUAGUGGCAGGAACCAGCAUUUCCCUUGUGAUCAUCUUGAUAUGUGUAAUUGCUUUUUUUUGGUUCAAAUGGAAAUCGUCUAAGGAAAGUUCAGCUGAAAUUAAUUCUGACCCCUCCAGUGAAGCUGUGGUGACCUUAAAAAAUACCAAGUUAUGAAAACCAAU
RNAcentral lists this long non-coding RNA (685 nucleotides) under Cairina moschata (Muscovy duck). Its description in RNAcentral is "domestica (muscovy Duck (domestic type)) lncRNA (ENSCMMG00000002264.1)". Lineage: Eukaryota; Metazoa; Chordata; Aves; Anseriformes; Anatidae. The record is from RNAcentral.